Molecule: non-coding RNA, 1678 nt
Organism: Odocoileus virginianus texanus
Lineage: Eukaryota; Metazoa; Chordata; Mammalia; Artiodactyla; Cervidae
Source: RefSeq, a predicted model, not a curated record
GUCUCAUCAGCCCCCGCCAGGUUGGGUUGUAUGGCGGCCCCUCUGCGGGGCUGAAUUGUGCGGCUGGCCGCGCAGCUUCUGUUAAAGGAGGAUUGGAGGAGUUGGGAGUUUAUCCCAUUCACAGGAGGAGACGGCGCUGGCCUUUCUACCCCGCCGGCGAAACAUGAGCUGCGGCCAGCAGCAGCAGCCGCUGCCGCCGCCGCGGAAGAUCACCAACGUGGGUCCCUGCAACUCUUCCCGCAGGAGAACGAGUCCCUCUUCACCUUCCUCGGCAAGAAAUGUGUGAUUAUGAGACUGCUCACGGUUUGCCUCAACGAAGAUCACAGACUAUCAGUUGGAGGAAAUACAAGAGCUCACUCAUUGCUUCCAUAAGAACACAGCUAAUCUCUGCACUGAGAUCAUCGCUGGUCAAAAUCUACUCACAGAGAGCAUCUCAGAGCAGAAACUAAAUCACCUAAGUAGUCUGUGCAUUUUAGACACAAAUGCAAGGUAACUGUGAACAUGAUUGUCUAAGAAAGUGAUGUUGAGUAGGCUUAUCCCUAACAUUUUCCCCCCAAAUUGUAGGUCACAAACUAUCAGUGGAAUUGAUUUAAUUGGUUGGAAUGAGCAUUUAAAGAAAAUAAGUGAAAUAGACAAUAAUAGAGUGGAAUAUAAUAAGAUAGAAUACAAUGAGGCAGAAUAGGAAACACAAAAAGUACUACACCCCCGUACAGUAAGCAUGAGUAUGAAUUUACAAACCUUUUCUGUAUAUAUUAUACAUGCGUGCACUGGGUCACAGUGUAAGAUGUAUUUUUUACUGUGCAAUAGGUCAAACCACUUUGAUACUCAAAAGCUUUCAGCCUGACACAUGUGUGUACUGCAUCCUCACUGCAGCUGUUUUCUAAUUAUGUGGCCUUGGGUAAGUUAUUAAUUCUCUUUAACCUCUUCAGCAACCACAACAGAAUUCAGAGCUGUCUCAGGGGUCCUUCAUGUCUGUAAAUGAAUAAACUACUGGACUAAGCAACUUCGUUUUCUAUGUGAGGACCAGCAGGCCUGGAAUCUGGCUUCUCAACUUGGGAGCAAUGUGACUUUGCCCAAACUAUUUAACUUCACUACACUUUAGUUUUUCUUGUCUUUAAUUUUUUUUUUUUUCCCAACCAAAAAAAUGUGGGUAUUAAUAGCAGCACUCUUACAGGUCUGUCGUGAAAUUUUCAUUAGGUAAAGUGCACUGACCACUUAACACAAAGCCCAUGAAUAGUUCAGAGCAUGCUACCCCCAAAGGUGCCACUUUCCCAUAUUAUUGUGAUUAUUUUGAGCUGAAGGUGAUGCAGCAACAGCAAAUACAGACAGUCUCUCUAACUUCCCCCUUUCUCCCUGAAGAUUUCCCAUGUGAAAUAUGUACUCUGUACCAGGAAGCGGGGAACAUCUUACCACCAAAGGAAGGUAGUUGAUGCCAAAAUGGAUCUGCACAAACCUAUGAAAAUGACCCUUAUCUUCCAGUAGUUUCCCUCAGAUAUUUCCUAGUCACAAUGUACUGUUCAUCAAAGCUCUUUCUCUUUGUCUUGUCACUCCUUCAUAAUUUAUCAUUCUCUGUUGAAAAGAUCUGUAAACUCUUGAUCCUAACUUCUUUGGGUCUCCAUUUUUGCUAUGGAAGCUUCCAUGUGCAUGUAAAAAUGUUCAAUAAAGUUUGUAUGCUUUU